CACUUUUUGAAAGAAGAAUUGUCCCAAUAAUUGAAACUCAACUCCCCAAAGUACCCAUCUCAUCUAAUUUCCCCCCUUCCCCGUCACUCACUUGAGCAUUCCAGAUCUGAGCUAGGACCCAGCGCAUUAGCCAGCGGUGGAUCCGAAGGGGCCAUCGCGGUGGGACUUGAUUUACUCACAGUGAAGUAACAAGGUGAUCGAGCUAGUGUCAUCCCGUUUACAAGGUUCCUGGAAAACCAAUAUAGGUACACCUACGACGUAGCAAGAGACGGAUCAGUCACAGAGGUACAUACUGGCCUUUCGGGGUUACCAUCUUCGUCUUGUUUAAUUGGGCUUGUAUUUGUAAUGAAAUCUUCGUGAUUUGAUAUGAUAACAUGAACGAGACUGGUUCUCUGAUUAUCAAGGCUCCCUUAAUUUUAGGCAUCCAAUAACCUAAAAUGUACGAAGUUUAAUUGGUGAAAUUCAUUUUGUUCUACCCUUUUUGUGGUAAAUAUAAUUUUUUGGGAAUGUGCAAAUAUGUAUCACAUAGAAUGAAUUGGAAGUCACUACUUUUGUCAGCUGCUUACAAACCAUUUUAAUCAACCAUUUCGCUAUAGCCACGGUGAGAACUCCAGUUAAUUCCGCGAGAUUACUGAUGAUGCUUGAAGACAUCAUGCUAUUAUAUCGGGUAGAGAGCACAAUUCUCGUGCAGCGUUACAUCAGAGCCUGGAUCGACCGCGCUAGGCGUACGAUCAUUGAAAAUGCUAGGCAGUACAGCUUGAUAAGUAAGGUUCCUCAUCAGUUGAAACACUUGGAUCGACUCAUUCAUGUCAAUGAUGUUGACUGCAUAGCAAACUUAAGAAUGGAUCGCAACACAUUUGGGAAGUUGUGUCGCAUUCUCACUGCAAAUGGAGGAUUGAGCCCAGGGAAAGGAUUAGGCAUUGAAGAACAGGUGGCGAUUUUUUUGGGAGUCUUAGCGCACCACAAUAAAAACCGCGUGGUUCGUUUCAGUUUUUUCAGGUCCGGUUCGACAGUGUCCCAUUACGUAAACAAGGUUUUGGGGGCUGUGUUGAGUCUCCACACAGUGUUAUUAUCGAAGCCUAAACCCGUGACGGAUGAUUGCAUUGAUCAUAGAUGGAAAUGGUUCAAGGGCUGUCUCGGUGCACUCGACGGUACACACAUCAACGUACUGGUAGGUACCAGUGACAAACCUCGUUAUCGCACGCGAAAGGGGUCUAUUGCUACGAACACCUUGGCAGUUUGCGAUCGCAAUAUGCAGUUUGUUUAUUUCCUACCUGGGUGGGAAGGUUCCGCCGGCGACUCUCGCGUACUCAGGGAUGCGGUUGCGCGACCCAACGGACUACGAGUUCCACAUGGCUGUUACUAUUUAUGCGACAACGGGUACGCCAAUAGCAACGGCUUUUUGACCCCGUACAAAGGAGUUCGAUACCACCUCAAGGAAUGGGGCAUAGGGAAUGCACAGCCACAAAAUCCAAAGGAAUUGUUCAACAUGAGGCACAUCAAGGCAAGGAAUGUCAUCGAGAGAGCCUUUGCGGUUUUGAAGAUACGUUGGGGAAUAUUACGUAGUGCAUCUUAUUACCCAAUUCAAACACAAAUCAGGUUAAUCAUGGCGUGUUUCCUUUUCCAUAAUUUUGUUCGCUACGAGAUGAGCACUGACCCCUUUGAAGAAACGGUUGAUGGAGAGAGCUCAGCAACCGGCACGGAACAAGAUAGUCCACAACCUGAAUAUAUAGACUACGUUGAUCCAACUCCAGAAUGGACUCAGUUCAGGGACUCCAUUGCGAUGACAAUGUGGAACAAUAGAUAGCGCGUUUGUCGCAGUCAUGUCAUUAGAUCCACCCAGACUUUGUUUACAAUUUUAUUGUAAUGGCCGAGGGCAUACUCGAAUGCAGAUGUGGCAGGGGGAAGAUGGAGUUGCGUCGUGCAGGGAAAACGGCUGCAAAUGCAGGUCGUUACUACUUCAGAUGCCCCGACAAACUGAACCAUGUUGGAUCAUUUCAGUGGUACGACGAGACUGUCCGGGGACUGGGCUUGGAAGGAAAAAGUGGCUUUGAAGAACGGGGGAAAACAUUUAUGGGUGCCGAAUAGAGAUCUUAUGCCACCGGCAGUGCAGUUGAAUAUAAAGGAGGUGUCCAUUGCUAUCGCGCUUCAACCACGAACGAUAUGAGGACCCUAGUGCAGCUUGGGUUCAUGGCCGUCGUAUUCUUGGCAGUGGGAAUAAUUUUAGGCAGGCUUCUGUAAACCGUAUCGUAUUCAGCAACGAGGUCUACUUUUUUGUCUUUUUGUAUAUGUAUAUAUGAUCCCUUGUCAUGCUCCCUUUCAUCAAACCAACCAUGACUUCCCAAUCUAAUGUUAUGUCUAUUACUCUGUUCUUGACGCGUCCAAA
RNA transcript from Salvia splendens (bonfire salvia), 2386 nucleotides. RefSeq lists it as uncharacterized. NCBI's taxonomy places the organism in Eukaryota, Viridiplantae, Streptophyta, Magnoliopsida, Lamiales, Lamiaceae. The transcript has 5 exons. The record is from RefSeq and is a predicted model, not a curated record.